CCUACGGGAGGCAGCAGUGAGGAAUAUUGGUCAAUGGGCGAGAGCCUGAACCAGCCAAGUCGCGUGAAGGAUGACGGCCCUACGGGUUGUAAACUUCUUUUGUCAGGGAGCAAUGGGGUCCACGCGUGGCCUUAACGAGAGUACCUGAAGAACAAGCAUCGGCUUACUCAGGGCCAGCAGCCGCGGUAAUACGGAGGAUGCGAGCGUUAUCCGGAUUAAUUGGGUUUAAAGGGUGCGUAGGUUGUCUUUUAAGUCAGCGGUGAAAGUUUGGGGCUCAACCAUAAAAUUGCCGUUGAAACUGGCAGCCUGGAGUGGGCUAGAGGUAGGCGGAAUGCGUGGUGUAGCGGUGAAAUGCAUAGAUAUCACGCAGAACUCCGAUUGCGAAGGCAGCUUACUAAGCCAUAACUGACACUGAAGCACGAAAGCGUGGGUAUCGAACAGGAUUAGAUACCCUGGUAGUC
RNAcentral lists this ribosomal RNA (461 nucleotides) under uncultured bacterium. RNAcentral's name for it is "partial 16S ribosomal RNA". It matches the Rfam family "Bacterial small subunit ribosomal RNA", at positions 338 to 795 of the family's 1533-position model. The record is from RNAcentral.